GAUGAACGCUAGCUACAGGCUUAACACAUGCAAGUCGCGGGGCAGCAUGGGGGUUGCUUGCACUCCCCGAUGGCGACCGGCGCACGGGUGAGUAACGCGUAUCCAACCUGCCCUUCACCACGGGAUAACCCGGCGAAAGUCGGACUAAUACCGUAUGUUGUCCAUUGACGGCAUCCGAUUUGGACGAAAGGUUUGGCGGUGAAGGAUGGGGAUGCGUCCGAUUAGCUGGACGGCGGGGUGACGGCCCACCGUGGCGACGAUCGGUAGGGGUUCUGAGAGGAAGGUCCCCCACACUGGAACUGAGACACGGUCCAGACUCCUACGGGAGGCAGCAGUGAGGAAUAGUGGUCAAUGGGCGUAAGCCUGAACCAGCCAAGUAGCGUGCAGGAUGACGGCCCUAUGGGUUGUAAACUGCUUUUAUGCGGGGAUAAAGUGGCCCACGUGUGGGUUUUUGCAGGUACCGCGGGAAUAAGGACCGGCUAAUUCCGU
RNAcentral lists this ribosomal RNA (489 nucleotides) under uncultured bacterium. RNAcentral describes it as "partial 16S ribosomal RNA". It matches the Rfam family "Bacterial small subunit ribosomal RNA", at positions 28 to 506 of the family's 1533-position model. The record is from RNAcentral.